GAUGAACGCUAGCUACAGGCUUAACACAUGCAAGUCGAGGGGAAACGGCAUCGAAAGCUUGCUUUUGAUGGGCGUCGACCGGCGCACGGGUGAGUAACGCGUAUCCAACCUGCCCAUCACUUGGGAAUAACCUUGCGAAAGUAAGACUAAUGCCCAAUGACAUCCCACGAAGGCAUCCGAAUGGGAUUAAAGAUUUAUCGGUGAUGGAUGGGGAUGCGUCUGAUUAGCUUGUUGGCGGGGUGACGGCCCACCAAGGCAACGAUCAGUAGGGGUUCUGAGAGGAAGGUCCCCCACAUUGGAACUGAGACACGGUCCAAACUCCUACGGGAGGCAGCAGUGAGGAAUAUUGAUCAAUGGGCGAGAGCCUGAACCAGCCAAGUAGCGUGCAGGAGGACGGCCCUAUGGGUUGUAAACUGCUUUUAUAAGGGAAUAAAGUGGGUCACGUGUGACUUUUUGCAUGUACCUUAUGAAUAAGGACCGGCUAAUUCCGUG
Molecule: ribosomal RNA, 492 nt
Filed under: uncultured bacterium
Lineage: Bacteria
Description: partial 16S ribosomal RNA
Rfam family: Bacterial small subunit ribosomal RNA
Source: RNAcentral